GGGGGGGCGGGGCUUGCUCCUCGUGGCUGUGAGGGCGGGGCUUGCUCCUCGUGGCUGUGAGGGCGGGGCUUGCUCCUCGUGGCUGUGGGGGUGACUCUGCAUGUUCAUGGCACUGGGCUUCCGUCAGUCUGGUCCCGAAGGCUCCGGUUUGAAUUUUGCACAGAGAAACAUGGAAAGAAUAUCAAAAAAUACCUUUGUUAAAAAUGCAGGGUGGUAAGUAAGCCACAGUUGUGUUUGAGCUCAUAACAAGCCUUAGCAUAUUGCGCUGGUUUAUAAUUCAGAUUCCCUUUAACACAUCUUAUUUCUAUUAGAAUAAAAAACCAAACAAAAUUAUGCCUUAAAACACACCAAGAUGAUAAUGUCCUCAGUUCUGGUUCCUCGGUAAAUUCAGUUGGGAAUUAAAAUAUUGUUACAGAACUAAAUCUUUUUUUAUUGCAUUUAUGUAUAAAAUAUUAAUUUUAUUAAAACAUUAUGUAGGCAAUAAAGUUAACUAACACAGUGACGUAAUCAAGGGCCCCGAGGUCACGGCCUCCCUGCCAGUGACGUAAUCAAGGGCCCCGAGGUCACGGCCUCCCUGCCAGUGACGUAAUCAAGGGCCCCGAGGUCACGGCCUCCCUGCCAGUGACGUAAUCAAUCACGAUUGAUUGAUUCCAGGCCUAGCAAAGAUAGUGCUUCAUAAACUGGACGCACUAGUCAAAGUAUAGAUGAUCCUCAGAGGGAAUUGGUCUUUUCCCUUGAAUAAUAAUCUUUUAAGUUGCUUCCAUAAGAAUAUACAUUAGCAUAUUUUAAUUGGAGUUGUUUUGGCUCAAGGAGCCACAGUGAAAAGGUACAAUUACACUGUAGUGUCAAUGAAAAGGUGUACAGAAAAUGUAGAAAGUGGAUAAAAUUGACCUGGAAACUUAGAAACAUCUGCUGGGUGCUUUGAGCAGGGACACGCAUGGAGGCUGUCCCUUUGUCCUUUGUAGUUUUGUAAUUCAAAAAAGAUGAUCAGAUUGAGAAUAGGUUAGAUUUCAGACACCUGACACUGUGAGUACUGUAUAAGUGGGUCUUAGGCUGGGCGUUGGUCUCCUGCAAGUGACCCAAACGUGCGGGAAGUAAAAGCCAGAAGGGCCCCAGGCCCCCCACUGCUGAGUGUGCUUGUUGAUAAGGUGUUGUGACAUAAACCCAAGCCCAGGUGGUGGGAUGGGUGGGGCUGUGGGGGGGAGGGGUGAGUCAGCUCUGCUCUGAAUGUAAUCCUGCAAGUUCUCCCUGGUUGUGAGUUUUUGAGGAUUAAAUAGCUUUUGUGUGAAAUUUCUUUGGUUACGAUCUUGCGGAGGGUCUACCAGCUUCGGAGACAAUGUAUCAUUUUGUGAGAGAUCACGCCCUGUGAAAUAAAACUGCUUUUGUUGAACCGA
Molecule: long non-coding RNA, 1394 nt
Organism: Brienomyrus brachyistius
Lineage: Eukaryota; Metazoa; Chordata; Actinopteri; Osteoglossiformes; Mormyridae
Exons: 2
Source: RefSeq, a predicted model, not a curated record